UGGGGGAUAUUGCACAAUGGGCGAAAGCCUGAUGCAGCGACGCCGCGUGGGGGAUGAAGGCCUUCGGGUUGUAAACUUCUUUUGCUCUGAACAAGGCAUGCCUUUGGGGUGUGUUGAGUGUAGGGGUUGAUUAGCGCCGGCUAACUACGUGCCAGCAGCCGCGGUAAUACGUAGGGCGCGAGCGUUGUCCGGAAUUAUUGGGCGUAAAGGGCUUGUAGGUGGCUGGUUGCGUCUGUCGUGAAAGCUCAUGGCUUAACUGUGGGUUUGCGGUGGGUACGGGCUGGCUUGAGUGCAGUAGGGGAGGCUGGAAUUCCUGGUGUAGCGGUGGAAUGCGCAGAUAUCAGGAGGACUACCGGUGGCGAAGGCGGGUCUCUGGGCUGUUACUGACGCUGAGGAGCGAAAGCGUGGGGAGCGAACAGG
This 420-nucleotide ribosomal RNA is filed under the name Fusobacteriota bacterium. RNAcentral's name for it is "Fusobacteria bacterium partial 16S ribosomal RNA". It matches the Rfam family "Bacterial small subunit ribosomal RNA", at positions 355 to 776 of the family's 1533-position model. The record is from RNAcentral. Lineage: Bacteria; Fusobacteriati; Fusobacteriota.